Molecule: transfer RNA, 71 nt
Filed under: Acanthoscelides obtectus
Lineage: Eukaryota; Metazoa; Arthropoda; Insecta; Coleoptera; Chrysomelidae
Description: hypothetical protein
Source: RNAcentral
GAUACGGGCCUAAGUGGCAGAGCACUGGACUUGCAAACCAGAGGUCGUCAGUUCAAUCCUCACAGGAGGCA